AUUGAACGCUGGCGGCAUGCUUUACACAUGCAAGUCGAACGGUAACAGGCCUUCGGGUGCUGACGAGUGGCGAACGGGUGAGUAAUGCAUCGGAACGUACCCAGAGGUGGGGGAUAACGCAGCGAAAGCUGUGCUAAUACUGCAUGUGAUCUGAGGAUGAAAGCGGGGGACCGAGCAGCAAUGUUUGGCCUCGCGCCUUUGGAGCGGCCGAUGUCGGAUUAGCAAGUUGGUGGGGUAAAGGCCUACCAAGGCGACGAUCCGUAGCUGGUCUGAGAGGACGACCAGCCACACUGGGACUGAGACACGGCCCAGACUCCUACGGGAGGCAGCAGUGGGGAAUUUUGGACAAUGGGCGCAAGCCUGAUCCAGCAAUGCCGCGUGCGGGAAGAAGGCCUUCGGGUUGUAAACCGCUUUUGGCAGGAACGAAACGGUGUCCGCUAAUACCGGGCGCUAAUGACGGUACCUGCAGAAUAAGCACCGGCUAACUACGUG
This 492-nucleotide ribosomal RNA is filed under the name uncultured bacterium. RNAcentral describes it as "partial 16S ribosomal RNA". It matches the Rfam family "Bacterial small subunit ribosomal RNA", at positions 29 to 507 of the family's 1533-position model. The record is from RNAcentral.